AAAACCAGACUUUCACUCAGGAGGCUGAUGUCCACUUCCUGUAUGAAUGUUGAUGUUGUAUGCCUCUAACGAGCAGACGCACCCAGGACACCCACCGUGUCAUAUGUAAACGUGAAAGUCCACUGACCAAGCUGUGAUAUGUGACAAGUUGGGAGUGAGAGAAGUUGCCUAUUACUGCUGAUUUUGUUCUUUUUGGAAAAAUGUCAAAUUUAAUAUUAUGUCCUUCUGUUCUCCUGUUUGAGUCCUUCAGUCUGAUACGACAGAGCAACCAUCUCUGAACACCUCUGCCUUUAGAUUUACAUUGUUUUUUCCAAUGCAGUACUUUCCGCUUAAAUGUAAAUGUCAUAAAGUCCCCACAAAUAUAAAUACUGUGGUAAGGUACAAGAAUCUCCAGGGUGUUGAGACAGUAUGUGCACCAUUACUGUGGUUUUCAUGUUCAUUUUUCUUUUAACCUGAAUGUCUCAUCAUGUGGUUGGAACCAACGUGAGAAUUUUGUCGAAGUUCAACAGGAAGUCCAAAGACUGAGAGACACCAUAAAGGAGGCCAUGAUCUUUCACUUGCCGUGUGACAGUUGACGUGUAACUGUCUUUAGGAUCCCCAGAAUGGUUUACUGGACAUCUCUGACAUUCAGAGCUUUGCUUUUCUGUCCAACAGUGAUGCUCUUUCUUCUGAUAUUUUCUUCAAAAGGUCAGUCUCAGGUUAUUGCUCCAUCUCAUCCAACAGUGGGAAAUAACAUCAUUUUGCCAAAGCACCUGAACCCUGCCGUGUCUCCUGUCUUCCUGUCUCUGGAGUGGUCAGGACCUGACCUGACAGACGUUUCACUGAAGCGCUCCAGAGUGGAACUCUCUGAAGACGGCUCCUACAGGAGCUAUAAUAACAGCAGUUCAUCUCUCUUGCUGCUGCUUGUAUCCCGUGUGGCUCUCACGUUUAUGUGAUUGGUUUUGGUGGUUACUGUCGUCGUCUGACUGAAUGCCAAGUAAACCUUUGCCCUUGUGCCGAAAUGUUCGCCUAAUGUCCACCUCAAAACCACGGACUGUAUUAAAGAAGUGGACGCAGCCUCCGAUCUGAAAGGUGAAGCCAAUGCUUGGGUGCCUUUAACCUACAUCAUUUCUGACAGCCAGCAGGGGGCGACUCCACUGGUUGCAAAAAUAAACUGGAUUGUUUAGAGGUCUUUAAGAAAAUGACCCAACUUCUCGUUUGAUUUAUUGCCUCAGUAUACAUUGUUCCAAUGAGUUUGUUUUCCCAGUUACUAAUUUCAAGGCUUCUUCAACACAGCAUGAUGUUCAGUUUGUUAAACAUGGUCCCAUUUAGACACCAUCUGUGACACCUGUGAAUUUUCAUCGUCAAACUAAUUUUCCUACAUUCCGGUGAAUGUUUAUGCACAUUUUCUGCAUCAACUUAUGGUGUUAAUGUCCUUAACUUUCUCAAAAUAUAAGUCCUCUGCUACUUUCAUGUUUUUGUUGGCGUGUGGGGGGACGGAUGCUCUAAAUAUUGAGUCCCCCCUGAAAUCUAUGUUGUGAUGUAUAAGACUGCAUAUGUGAUACACAGUAGAUUUCACACUACCUCCACCUUACAAAUGUCUGUCAGUCACAACUACAUGAAUUCACUGUUUGAGUUGAUCUGCAGACUGGGGAUAAAAAUGUCACUCUCUAAAAAUGGUUAAACUCUUACUGUGGGUGGAAUUGCUUCACAUCCUGCAAGACUAAUCUAGCUUGUUUUAUUUUUCUCAGUCAUGUAUUUUAAAGUUGUUCUGAUGCAUUUCCUUUAUCUGAU
Long non-coding RNA from Epinephelus fuscoguttatus (brown-marbled grouper), 1773 nucleotides. RefSeq lists it as uncharacterized. The record is from RefSeq and is a predicted model, not a curated record. The transcript has 4 exons. NCBI's taxonomy places the organism in Eukaryota, Metazoa, Chordata, Actinopteri, Perciformes, Serranidae.